Molecule: transfer RNA, 424 nt
Filed under: Streptococcus suis
Lineage: Bacteria; Bacillati; Bacillota; Bacilli; Lactobacillales; Streptococcaceae
Description: 16S-23S ribosomal RNA intergenic spacer
Rfam family: tRNA (bases 54-126)
Source: RNAcentral
CUAAGGAAAUGGAAACCUGUACGUCAGUCUUCUUUAAUUUUGAGAGGUCUUGUGGGGCCUUAGCUCAGCUGGGAGAGCGCCUGCUUUGCACGCAGGAGGUCAGCGGUUCGAUCCCGCUAGGCUCCAUUAGGAUAGAAAUCCUACUAAACUGAAUAACAGUGAAGUUGAAUUCACGACUAACUUCUUAGGAAAAUAGAUAAUCUUCCUUGUGUGCAAGACACACAAUGUCAGAUUCCUAAUUUUCUACAGAAGUUUCGCAGAAGCGACCGUCGUUCAUAUCCUAAACUUGUCCAUUGAAAAUUGAAUAUCUAUCAAACAUUCCUAAACGUAUGUAAAAAUACGUAUAGAAAUAGUAACAAGAAAAUAAACCGAAAACGCUGUGAAUAUUUAAUGAGUUUUCUAAUUUUUGAAAAAAAUUAGGUUA